CAGGAUUUCCGCAGGAGACUGAUUGAAUUCCUCUCCAUGUCACUUCAACACACUUACUGGCUUAGAAAUGAUGACAAUGUCCUCCUGCUAGUAGUGAGAACCAAUGGGGUCGGUAUUCCCAGGAUGGGGAGACUUGGACAGGGUGCCAGAACUCAGCCACUACACGUGGGACUGCAAGAAGAGAGAGCUGUAAACUACUGCAGGGAAGAAACGUUUUCCAGAUGACACUGCUCCAUAAAUGGUGUUGUAGGAUGUCAAUUAACUGUGAUGGGAGAGGCACAUCUCUAGAGUACUCACCAGAUCUCUUUUGACAAUGAAGUGUCAUUUUGGAGAUAAAUGAAACAUGUGUGGACAGUUUUUCUACAGAAUGGAAAGAGAAUUCUCACCACAAUGUUGUCAUAUUUUGAUGUUCACUGAGUUUGUGACUUCCAGAUCAAAAUCUGAAUGUCUAACAUGAUAGCCUUACACAGUAAAAAUGAGAAGUUGCUGUGCAAAUGGGAGUUUCAGCUGAGGUGGAAGACUGAACCAUUUCCUUUGGAAAAGAAGGAGAUAACAAGGAAAAUGGAUGUUCAGCAAUUUUCUACUGAAGAAAGAAAAAGGGUUUGCCAUGUGCUGAGGCCCUGGACUGCACUUAGGUCGGGGCUCAUGCCCUGUCCCCGUGCAUGGUCCCUAUCUGAAAAGGGCAACAUUAACAUG
Passer domesticus (house sparrow) is the source of this 696-nucleotide long non-coding RNA. RefSeq lists it as uncharacterized. NCBI's taxonomy places the organism in Eukaryota, Metazoa, Chordata, Aves, Passeriformes, Passeridae. The transcript has 5 exons. The record is from RefSeq and is a predicted model, not a curated record.